AACGAACGCUGGCGGCGCGCCUAAUACAUGCAAGUCGAGCGAGAAGACGUAGCAAUACGUUUGUAAAGCGGCGAACGGGUGAGGAAUACAUGGGUAACCUACCCUCGAGUGGGGAAUAACUAGCCGAAAGGUUAGCUAAUACCGCGUACGCUCCUUGGACUUCGGUUCAGGGAGGAAAGCGAUACCGUGGGUAUCGCGCUCUUGGAUGGGCUCAUGUCCUAUCAGCUUGUUGGUGAGGUAACGGCUCACCAAGGCUUCGACGGGUAGCUGGUCUGAGAGGACAAUCAGCCACACUGGCACUGCGACACGGGCCAGACUCCUACGGGAGGCAGCAGUAAGGAAUAUUGCGCAAUGGGCGAAAGCCUGACGCAGCGACGCCGCGUGGGGGA
Molecule: ribosomal RNA, 389 nt
Filed under: uncultured bacterium
Lineage: Bacteria
Description: bacterial SSU rRNA
Rfam family: Bacterial small subunit ribosomal RNA
Source: RNAcentral